GUCAUAAGCUGACCAUUAUACAUAAGUAGAGGCAAGUUCAGCUCUCUCAUUUAUCAGACAUGGAUAAGCUUGUUGAGGUUCCGGUGUCUUUCCCUGCUUGCUACUUCAACAAGGCCUUCCUCGGAUCAAACCACUUCUUCCUCUCAGUUAUGGGAUUUACACAGGGUUGAGUCCUUCUGUCCCAGAACAGGACAGACAACGAGUUAGUUGGAGUCGACAGGCACUUGAGCUUAUCUGGAAGAUUUGUGGUUCUCUACUCCUCUUCAUUGCCCAAUAAUUCCUUAGGAUGAUUACAGC
Molecule: non-coding RNA, 297 nt
Organism: Pelobates cultripes (western spadefoot toad)
Lineage: Eukaryota; Metazoa; Chordata; Amphibia; Anura; Pelobatidae
Source: the annotation of a GenBank genome assembly